This 64-nucleotide transfer RNA is filed under the name Dipodomys ordii (Ord's kangaroo rat). It matches the Rfam family "tRNA". From Rfam's summary of the family: Transfer RNA (tRNA) molecules are approximately 80 nucleotides in length. Their secondary structure includes four short double-helical elements and three loops (D, anti-codon, and T loops). Further hydrogen bonds mediate the characteristic L-shaped molecular structure. tRNAs have two regions of fundamental functional importance: the anti-codon, which is responsible for specific mRNA codon recognition, and the 3' end, to which the tRNAs corresponding amino acid is attached (by aminoacyl-tRNA synthetases). tRNAs cope with the degeneracy of the genetic code in two manners: having more than one tRNA (with a specific anti-codon) for a particular amino acid; and 'wobble' base-pairing, i.e. permitting non-standard base-pairing at the 3rd anti-codon position. Lineage: Eukaryota; Metazoa; Chordata; Mammalia; Rodentia; Heteromyidae. The record is from Rfam by way of RNAcentral.
GGUGGCUCAGUGGUAGAGCGCUUGCCUUGCUUACAAGAGGCUCUGGGUUCGAUUCUCAGCACCA